Molecule: ribosomal RNA, 561 nt
Filed under: Aspergillus ochraceopetaliformis
Lineage: Eukaryota; Fungi; Ascomycota; Eurotiomycetes; Eurotiales; Aspergillaceae
Description: eukaryotic LSU rRNA
Rfam family: 5.8S ribosomal RNA (bases 177-330)
Source: RNAcentral
UCUUCGGGGCCAACCUCCCACCCUUGUAUACUGUACCAAGUUGCUUCGGCGGGCCCGCCGUUCGCGCGGCCGCCGGGGGGGAACCCCUCCCCCCGGGCGAGCGCCCGCCGGAGACCCCAACGUGAACACUGUCUGAAGUUUUGUCGUCUGAGUUCGAUUGUAUCGCAAUCAGUUAAAACUUUCAACAAUGGAUCUCUUGGUUCCGGCAUCGAUGAAGAACGCAGCGAAAUGCGAUAAUUAAUGUGAAUUGCAGAAUUCAGUGAAUCAUCGAGUCUUUGAACGCACAUUGCACCCCCUGGUAUUCCGGGGGGUAUGCCUGUCCGAGCGUCAUUGCUGCCCUCAAGCCCGGCUUGUGUGUUGGGUCCUCGUCCCCCCCGGGGGACGGGCCCGAAAGGCAGCGGCGGCACCGCGUCCGGUCCUCGAGCGUAUGGGGCUUUGUCACACCGCUCUCGUAGGCCCGGCCGGCGCUGGCCGACGCUGAAAAGCAACCAUUAUUUCUCCAGGUUGACCUCGGAUCAGGUAGGGAUACCCGCUGAACUUAAGCAUAUCAAUAAGCGGAGG